AGGAAGAUGAAAUUCAGAUUUCAGUUGAGAAGCAAUGCUGUUUCACCUCCCUGAGAGAAUUGCCUUGUUUGUGAAAUACUACAGAAAAACCUGUAUUUUCUCCAGAAAAUGAAAGGUCUUGGCCUGAGUAAAUCAAGGCAGAAAACUCACCCCCGUGAAAGCUGCAGCUCUGAGAGUGUGUGGGCAGGGCUUCAACAGAAUACCUGUGGCUGCACUUACAAAAGGCAGCCAGAAGGACCCGUCCAUUCUGGAAAGUACCUUUAGUCUGAAAGCAUUUAUUGCAGAAAAAAUAUGAGGCUUGCUGGUAGUAUUCCCAGGUGACAAAUGUGCACCCAACACCCUACAGAAAAGAAGAACCAUAAAAUAAUUAAUUAUUCCAUUGUAACUCCUGCCUGGAAAACAUCUGAAAGAAGUCACUAGAUUCAGCCCACAUUCAAGAUGAGAAAUACCAGAAGGCAGAGAACACUGAGGCUGUUUUAGAGGCUGUCAACCCCAGGGAGACAGACAGCAAAUAAGAUGCUUGGAUGUUUUCACACCACUCUGACACAUGGAUGGAAGGUUAGAAGACAACAAAGGAAUGGGCUGGGAAGGACUCCAAAAGCAGAAUCAGAGAUUAUAUCAUUCCUUGGAAAUGGAGAAAAGGAUCAAAAAAGCUGAAUAAAAGGCAAACAUGGAGGAACAGAGUUUGGAGCAAUACCCUGACUUACAUUCAGUACUGUUAAUGGCUCCAGCAUCUUGAAACAAACCAAUUUUGGAUUUUCAGUGAAAAAGAAAGCCAACCCAGAAAAUCACUUAGGAAGAUCCAGACAACAGAUGGUACGCCAAAAGUGAACAAUGAUCUCAGUAACUGAGGCCUCAGAGACAAGAUGAUCCAUUCCACAGCUGGAUAUUGUAAAACUUGGGUACCAGUGGUGCGCAGAUCUGACCAUUAAAACUAUGUACUUCUUGAGUCACAAACCAGUGUGUGUGACUGGUUAAAACCCAGUCACAACCUGGAAAAAGUUGUGGAAAGCACCUGGGGACUGAGGAGAAGCAAACUUCCUUAGGUUUACACAGUAUGGCUGGCACCUUAAGCAAGUUAAAAUCGGUCUCAAUUCCCUGCAGAAUAAGGGCAACACCAAUUAUGCUACCUACUUCAUGCAAGAACCUAAAAUGAAAAAUAAAAUUGCUUUUAAAAUGU
Molecule: long non-coding RNA, 1180 nt
Filed under: Homo sapiens (human)
Lineage: Eukaryota; Metazoa; Chordata; Mammalia; Primates; Hominidae
Description: long intergenic non-protein coding RNA 2831
Source: RNAcentral